GAAGUACUUCAGUAAGUCCUCCUUCUCCUCAGCCGUCAGCUCGGCCGGCAGGUGCCUGACGAGGAGGGUGCGGUCUCCCCGGGGCGGAGAAAGCGAAGCGGAGCCUGGGCCGCCUCGGGACAGCGGCAUCGGCGGCUCAGGCCCCGCCAUCUAGCUUCCCUGCAGAAGCGGCCAGAGACGGAACCUCCGCGCAAGCUUCCGGCCGAACUCCCGCAGUCACCGAGGCUGAGCGGAAGAUAGUUUCCGCUUCGCGCUAAGGAUUCUGGACGCAGGGAAAUCCCGCGAGAGGAGAACUCCUCGCGAGAAUGGCCUCCGGGAGAGUCGCUCUUCUCUUUUCGGGACUGUUGCGGGGGAGAGCGCCUAGGAGUCGUGCUUUAAGUUUAAUGAGAGGUUGUAAUAAAAUAAAGACUGAAAGAGACGCCACUGUUAGAAGGACAGCAAUCUCAUCGAAGAACGUCAGUCAUGCAAAAGAAAAAUACUGUAAUCCCAGGGAUCAAGUACUGAAGGAACCGUGCAAGGGCUGUUGCUCCCUGGGCUCUUAAUCCAGAUUUUUCAGAAAGUGAAUCUGGCUGGUGAAUGGAGAACGCUCGGGAAAUGUCAAGUGUGUUCCUAGCAUUUAGGACUGGUGAAACACAAGUCUCCAGCCUCAGAUUCAACAGUGCAGGCGAGAGAGCACGCCGUUAUCAGUCGGCAAAUACAGGCUGAAAGUUCUCGCCACGGUUUGUUUAUUAAACAAAAUUGGCUUCUUCCAUGAGUAAAUACCUAAAAAUGUGUUAGCGUACGUAUUCAUGGAUGUAAGUUCUCUUCUCACCACCUCACGACUGAGAGUACUGACGUAGAUUAAGACUCAUUGCUAACCAAUAGGUGAGAUCUGAGCCCUUGCACCCAAGUUGGAGUCUACACUGUUGUGACUAAGAUUCGGCCCUGGUGGUCUAAAGUAAUAUCCCUUACAGAUUAAUCAAGAUGUGUAUGCUCACUCCGUAGUCCUAGGGUGUCUUUUACUUCUAAUUUGCUUGAUGGAUAUGAGCCAGUUAGUACACAGUACUUCAAAGAUCCGCUUUGAGGAAGCAUUGCAUGGGGAGAUAAAUUACCAAAAUAUUGAGUGACUAGAGACAGAUCUUGUGAACCUUAGAGGUUUGUUAGGAACCUUGCUCAUGGGAACAGAAGCCGACAGACUUAAGAGUGUGUGGAAGGAAUAGUUAAAUUUUACGUUUAAAAAUCUCUUUGAUUUCACUAUGAGUAAUAUAGCAGAAACCGGGCAUGGUGGCACACACCUUUCAUUCUAAGUUCCCAAGAGGCAGAGACAGAUGCAUCUCAAGUGAUUUUGAGGCCAGCGUGGGUGACACUGAGUUCCAGGACAACCAGAGCUAUGUAAAGAC
This 1379-nucleotide long non-coding RNA is filed under the name Mus musculus (house mouse). RNAcentral's name for it is "long non-coding RNA chr3:113629904-113631283". Lineage: Eukaryota; Metazoa; Chordata; Mammalia; Rodentia; Muridae. The record is from RNAcentral.